CCUACGGGUGGCAGCAGUGAGGAAUAUUGGUCAAUGGACGAGAGUCUGAACCAGCCAAGUAGCGUGAAGGAUGACUACCCUAUGGGUUGUAAACUUCUUUUAUAUGGGAAUAAACUGUUCCACGUGUGGGAUUUUGUAUGUACCAUAUGAAUAAGGAUCGGCUAACUCCGUGCCAGCAGCCGCGGUAAUACGGAGGAUCCGAGCGUUAUCCGGAUUUAUUGGGUUUAAAGGGAGCGUAGGUGGAUUGUUAAGUCAGUUGUGAAAGUUUGCGGCUCAACCGUAAAAUUGCAGUGGAAACUGGCAGUCUUGAGUACAGUAGAGGUGGGCGGAAUUCGUGGUGUAGCGGUGAAAUGCUUAGAUAUCACGAAGAACUCCGAUUGCGAAGGCAGUUCACUGGACUGCAACUGACACUGAGGCUCGAAAGUGUGGGUAUCAAACAGGAUUAGAUACCCCUGUAGUC
Molecule: ribosomal RNA, 460 nt
Filed under: uncultured bacterium
Lineage: Bacteria
Description: partial 16S ribosomal RNA
Rfam family: Bacterial small subunit ribosomal RNA
Source: RNAcentral